UCGUAACAAGGUCUCCGUUGGUGAACCAGCGGAGGGAUCAUUACCGAGUGUAAAAACUCCCAAACCAUUGUGAACCUACCACUGUUGCUUCGGCGGCCUCGCCCCGGGCGCGUUCGCGCGGCCCGGACCCAGGCGUCCGCCGGAGGCUCCAAACUCUUGUCUUUUAGUGUAUUUCUGAGUGGCAUAAGCAAAUAAAUCAAAACUUUCAGCAACGGAUCUCUUGGUUCUGGCAUCGAUGAAGAACGCAGCAAAAUGCGAUAAGUAAUGUGAAUUGCAGAAUUCAGUGAAUCAUCGAAUCUUUGAACGCACAUUGCGCCCGCCAGUAUUCUGGCGGGCAUGCCUGUCUGAGCGUCAUUUCAACCCUCAGGACCCGUUCGCGGGACCUGGCGUUGGGGAUCAGCCUGCCCCUGGCGGCGGCUGGCCCUGAAAUCCAGUGGCGGUUCCCUCGCGAACUCCUCCGUGCAGUAAUUAAACCUCUCGCGGCAGGAUAGCGGUUGAACCACGCCGUUAAACCCCCCACUUCUCAAGGUUGACCUCAGAUCAGGUAGGAAUACCCGCUGAACUUAAGCAUAUCA
Molecule: unclassified non-coding RNA, 575 nt
Filed under: Acremonium egyptiacum
Lineage: Eukaryota; Fungi; Ascomycota; Sordariomycetes; Hypocreales; Bionectriaceae
Description: sequence contains 18S rRNA gene, ITS1, 5.8S rRNA gene, ITS2, 28S rRNA gene
Rfam family: 5.8S ribosomal RNA (bases 201-354)
Source: RNAcentral